Molecule: ribosomal RNA, 301 nt
Filed under: uncultured bacterium
Lineage: Bacteria
Description: partial 16S ribosomal RNA
Rfam family: Bacterial small subunit ribosomal RNA
Source: RNAcentral
CAGUCGCCGCGGGAAUACAGAGGGUGCGAGCGUUAAUCGGAUUUACUGGGCGUAAAGCGUGCGUAGGCGGCUUCUUAAGUCGGAUGUGAAAUCCCUGAGCUUAACUUAGGAAUUGCAUUCGAUACUGGGAAGCUAGAGUAUGGGAGAGGAUGGUAGAAUUCCAGGUGUAGCGGUGAAAUGCGUAGAGAUCUGGAGGAAUACCGAUGGCGAAGGCAGCCAUCUGGCCUAAUACUGACGCUGAGGUACGAAAGCAUGGGGAGCAAACAGGAUUAGAUACCCGUGUAGUCCCUGUCUAUUAUAA